Molecule: long non-coding RNA, 562 nt
Organism: Sinocyclocheilus grahami
Lineage: Eukaryota; Metazoa; Chordata; Actinopteri; Cypriniformes; Cyprinidae
Exons: 3
Source: RefSeq, a predicted model, not a curated record
UGUCAGGAUCAGCGGCGUGGCGGAGUGCAGCACUGAGGGCCCUUGCGUUCGGGGCCCUGCUUGUGCUGGUUUGUGGGGGACCCAGACCCGGACACAGGAGUGUGCAGCAUCAGAGAGAACAGGCAGAGUGGACUCAGAGAGUUCAGUAUCCAGCGGUCAACGAUGCACAGCGCAUCCAGAUCCCUUCAGUGGACGAUGCACAGAGAUGCUCUGCUGGUUUCUAUCUGGACAGAAGCGGUCUGUUUGCUCGUUGUGCUCGCUGCUCCUGUAACAGCUUCUCUAACGAGUGCGAGGAAAACACCGGCCGAUGUCUGAACUGCGGUGAUAAUAGAGCAGGGGAUCACUGUGAGCGCUGUAGAGAUGGAUUUUACUCAGAUGCAGCACAGAGGAGAUGCAGCGCGUGCCCAUGUCCUCUCAGCAACAAUGCCAACAAGUAAGACUCACAUCUGUGACAGAAAAAGCACUGACAGUUUUGAGGCGAGAGACUGCUGGUAUAUUGAUAUUUUGGGCAUUUUGGCUUUUCUUAAAGUGUUUUUACAGACCAGUGGACAGAAAACCCCCA